CCUACGGGAGGCAGCAGUGGGGAAUAUUGCACAAUGGGGGAAACCCUGAUGCAGCGACGCCGCGUGAGUGAAGAAGUAUCUCGGUACGUAAAGCUCUAUCAGCAGGGAAGAAAAUGACGGUACCUGACUAAGAAGCCCCGGCUAACCACGUGCCAGCAGCCGCGGUAAUCCGUAGGGGGGAAGCGUUCUCCGGAUGUACUGGGUGUAAAGGGAGCGUAGACGGCAGCGCAAGUCUGGAGGGAAAUGCCGGGGCCCAACCCCGGAACUGCUUUGGAAACUGGGCAGCUAGAGUGCAGGAGAGGGAAGCGGAAGUCCUAGUGUAGCGGUGAAAUGCGUAGAUAGUAGGAGGAACACCAGUGGCGAAGGCGGCUUACUGGACUGUAACUGACGUUGAGGCUCGAAAGCGUGGGGAGCAAACAGGAUUAGAUACCCGUGUAGUC
RNAcentral lists this ribosomal RNA (440 nucleotides) under uncultured bacterium. RNAcentral describes it as "partial 16S ribosomal RNA". It matches the Rfam family "Bacterial small subunit ribosomal RNA", at positions 338 to 795 of the family's 1533-position model. The record is from RNAcentral.